Molecule: ribosomal RNA, 300 nt
Filed under: Triticum aestivum (bread wheat)
Lineage: Eukaryota; Viridiplantae; Streptophyta; Magnoliopsida; Poales; Poaceae
Description: partial small subunit ribosomal RNA
Source: RNAcentral
AUGAAUAAUUUCCAAAAACGACCCAAAAGGAAGCGAAGAAAGAGCAAAGAGAAGCAGAACCAAAGAAAAAAGGCAAAGGACAAAAGGACCAAAAACAUUUUUUGUGUGUUUUUAGUAAGCCAUGGGAAACAAGAAAAAAGCAAGCCAACAAAGAAUUAUUUUGGGAUUUCUCAUACUUCAGCAAACAAAACCAAAGAAACAAGAAAGAUAAAAUGUUUUUGUUGUUUUCUGAAUGACAAGAAGUGCGCUAAAAAGACCGAGAGAAGAAUGAAUAAAAUAUUUUUGGAGUUUUCCUUUUAA